This 750-nucleotide ribosomal RNA is filed under the name uncultured microorganism. Its description in RNAcentral is "bacterial SSU rRNA". It matches the Rfam family "Bacterial small subunit ribosomal RNA", at positions 61 to 860 of the family's 1533-position model. The record is from RNAcentral.
GUCGAACGCCCCGCAAGGGGAGUGGCAGACGGGUGAGUAACGCGUGGGAACAUACCCUUUCCUGCGGAAUAGCUCCGGGAAACUGGAAUUAAUACCGCAUACGCCCUACGGGGGAAAGAUUUAUCGGGGAAGGAUUGGCCCGCGUUGGAUUAGCUAGUUGGUGGGGUAAAGGCCUACCAAGGCGACGAUCCAUAGCUGGUCUGAGAGGAUGAUCAGCCACAUUGGGACUGAGACACGGCCCAAACUCCUACGGGAGGCAGCAGUGGGGAAUAUUGGACAAUGGGCGCAAGCCUGAUCCAGCCAUGCCGCGUGAGUGAUGAAGGCCUUGGGGUUGUAAAGCUCUUUCACCGGAGAAGAUAAUGACGGUAUCCGGAGAAGAAGCCCCGGCUAACUUCGUGCCAGCAGCCGCGGUAAUACGAAGGGGGCUAGCGUUGUUCGGAAUUACUGGGCGUAAAGCGCACGUAGGCGGAUAUUUAAGUCAGGGGUGAAAUCCCAGAGCUCAACUCUGGAACUGCCUUUGAUACUGGGUAUCUUGAGUAUGGAAGAGGUAAGUGGAAUUCCGAGUGUAGAGGUGAAAUUCGUAGAUAUUCGGAGGAACACCAGUGGCGAAGGCGGCUUACUGGUCCAUUACUGACGCUGAGGUGCGAAAGCGUGGGUAGCAAACAGGAUUAGAUACCCUGGUAGUCCACGCCGUAAACGAUGAAUGCUAGCCGUCGGGCAGUAUACUGUUCGGUGGCGCAGCUAACGCAU